This is a non-coding RNA of Pimephales promelas (fathead minnow), 2173 nucleotides long. The record is from RefSeq and is a predicted model, not a curated record. Lineage: Eukaryota; Metazoa; Chordata; Actinopteri; Cypriniformes; Leuciscidae.
GAUGCUGUUUGGACCCUGGAAAAUUCCAGAAGAAAUGCUGCCGCCUGGAAAAGAAGCACAAAGCUAGUUUAAGAGCGUACUUCGUGCUGAAAACGUGCCUAGUGCCACUUCACCUUUGACCUUGACCGAGAACGUCAAUUUCACACUGCGGUGGCAAAAUCAGGACUGCGGGCCGAAGAGGGGUGUGUGACUGCGAUCCGACGCUCAGAUCCCGUCUCUCACACACACACACACUCCUCCGAUGGCCGGCGUGUUGUGGAAGGGAACGGAGAAAGGUUCUGACCUCCUGAGAGAACGAGAGAGACGCCUGACGCCAGAGCCCAGACCGCGGAUAAUGGGGAACAGGUGAUGGGCACAUAUCGUACUGAAACACAGAUGAGAUGAGGCUGUGCCACUGACCGUGUGUGGAGUAACUGUACAGCGCCUGACCGGGUGCCGUCCCGCCGAAGUUGGACGUGUAUCCCAGCAAACUGCUCUGUCCCGGUGAAUGACUCAAACCAUCCUCUGUUUUAAUAUCUGAUCAGAAAACAGAAGGAGCUGUCCUGCGGGUCACACUGAUGUUUCAUCACACCUGCUCUGCUGACACACCACUCCUAACAAAACCUUUCCCAAGAAAACAAACACGUCCAGAGAGAGAGAGAGAGAGACGUCUGACACGGGCCGCCCAGUGCAGUCCUGACUUCCUGUGAUGCGCAGUGUGUUUCCUGGUAUGAGUGUGUCCCGGAGUGAGAGGGCAUGGGAAAGAACGCUCUUCCCCCGUUCACAGUGGUAAACUGAGCUAAAACAAACCCCGGACGGGGCACGGCGCUUCACCUGGCCUCGCCGCUGUUCUGCUAGCGCUGGCGUCUUCACGGCUAUCGUAUUCCACACAACGCCUUACAUCAUGCAUCACGUGCCAGAAACAUGUCCAGAAAAUACUGCAAAGAAAAGUGUAAAACGGAUUAGCGCGGACAACGGAAAGGCCUCCUCUCGGAGUAACACCAAGCUAUCAGUUUCCCCAUCCUGCAGAUAGACUUUUAAUUUAUGGGCUUCUGUUAUUAAAAAGCCCAGCCCGAGCUCGACCGCGUGUUCCUGGCCACCAUGUUUGUGUGUAACACUAACCGCCCGCCAUGGUGGGCUCUGCUUUCCACAUGACAGCCUCCAACAGGAGAAAGCCACCUUUCAUGCCAGCUUGUCUGGAAGGAUCGCCUCUCCCACCCAAAAAAAGCCCCGACUUAUGUGUAAUCGACCCCCUUCGUUCAGACGUUCGCCCCAUCGGUUCCCAAUUUCUCAUCCUACCCAUCCCCCCAUCUCCACCGCCAGGUCUGCCGGACCCUUCACCCCUGGAGCGCUGCCCCGAGACGUGGGUCAUGGAUGGGGACAGCUGGUGGACCUCCCAGAAUCAUUCUUCUGAGGGACUCUGUUCAGCGUUUGAUUGGCACCUGUUCCGGCCUGUUGAAACGAACAGCCCCCAGAUGAUUUAUGAUUAACCCGGGCCACGAGCAGUCUGAGCGCUUUACGACAGAUCAGGACUGUGUGAAAGUGCGAGUGUGUGUCUUUCACAGCGCGUCUCAUCUCUUUUCCCCGGCCCAACCCCAGAGGGUUUCUUGGCAAAUCUGAGCACAAAUUGAGAAAUCAUAAAGAAUUCCUCUGAAACUCCAGAUGAGACAGCUGAGAAGCGGAAGAUAAAAUCUAGAUUCAGUUGAGGUAUCAAACGAGAUUUCUUUAUUCAGGCUCUCAUAUUAUCCUAUACAGAAUGCUCAGUUUUGUGUUUUGGAUCAAUUCUAAUGCGCAUUAGGAAGCCUUUCAGUGUGGAGAAACUUGAAAAGGUAAAGAAACACUAUCCUAACUGAAUAGAAAGCAAAGAGAACUCACUCGAAGGUCCCAGUCCUUUCAGCCUCCAUCAAUACUAAAGCGACUCGCGGUGAUCUCUGACACACCGGCCUUAUGGCGUAUCAUUAACCUGACUGCACUAAUAGAAAGACCUGGACACUUAAAACCUUUUAACUAGUCCUGUAAUUAAGUUAGUCUGAUCACAGUACCAUGAAUUAUUGAUAUGUUAUUGGAUUCCAAUAUCAGCUUUGAGAAAUUAUUAAUAAUAGAUUACCCAUCUGGUGGAAAUGGAUGUAAACCUCGACUUCCAUUUGUUAACAACCUCUAAAUACUUCAAUAUGAAUCUAAUCUUAAAAUUAAU